GGAUGUGAGGGUGAUCUGGCUGCGACAUCUGUCACCCCAUUGAUUGCCAUGGCUGAUUUGGCUGAUCUGGCUGGCUAGGCAGGUGUCCCCUUCCUCCCUCACUGCUCCAUGUGCGUCCCUCCCGAAGCUGAUUGCUUGGUGGAAGAGGAUGGCCUUCCCCGAAGACAGACAGACUGGCCUUUGGUUGAGGAUAUAUAAGUAGCUGUGCUCCCCUGCUAGAACCUCCAAACAAGCUCUCAAUAGCAUAUGUUAUCAUAUGAUAUCUUAUAUAUUCAUGCCUAUUCCAUUUUGUUUUAUU
This is a non-coding RNA of Erinaceus europaeus (western European hedgehog), 298 nucleotides long. NCBI's taxonomy places the organism in Eukaryota, Metazoa, Chordata, Mammalia, Eulipotyphla, Erinaceidae. The record is from Rfam.